UGAAAUAGCCUGCGUCCAGCCAGAGCU
This 27-nucleotide non-coding RNA is filed under the name Mus musculus (house mouse). Lineage: Eukaryota; Metazoa; Chordata; Mammalia; Rodentia; Muridae. The record is from RNAcentral.